This 72-nucleotide transfer RNA is filed under the name Diaphorina citri (Asian citrus psyllid). It matches the Rfam family "tRNA". Rfam says of the family: Transfer RNA (tRNA) molecules are approximately 80 nucleotides in length. Their secondary structure includes four short double-helical elements and three loops (D, anti-codon, and T loops). Lineage: Eukaryota; Metazoa; Arthropoda; Insecta; Hemiptera; Psyllidae. The record is from Rfam by way of RNAcentral.
GCCUAGUUAGCUUGGUUGGUAGAGCGUCUGCCUUUUAAGCACUAACCCGCGGGUUCGAUUCCUGCCCGGGCG